UACGUAGGGUGCAAGCGUUGUCCGGAUUUAUUGGGCGUAAAGAGCUCGUAGGCGGUUUGUCGCGUCGGGUGUGAAAACCAGCAGCUUAACUGCUGGCCUGCAUUCGAUACGGGCAGACUUGAGGACGGUAGGGGAGACUGGAACUCCUGGUGUAGCGGUGGAAUGCGCAGAUAUCAGGAAGAACACCGGUGGCGAAGGCGGGUCUCUGGGCCGUUCCUGACGCUGAGGAGCGAAAGCGUGGGUAGCAAACAGG
This 253-nucleotide ribosomal RNA is filed under the name uncultured bacterium. RNAcentral's name for it is "partial 16S ribosomal RNA". It matches the Rfam family "Bacterial small subunit ribosomal RNA", at positions 524 to 776 of the family's 1533-position model. The record is from RNAcentral.